RNAcentral lists this long non-coding RNA (389 nucleotides) under Androctonus crassicauda. The record is from RNAcentral. Lineage: Eukaryota; Metazoa; Arthropoda; Arachnida; Scorpiones; Buthidae.
AAAAAUCUUUAAAAUUUAAAAAAAUAUAAAAAAAACAUAAAAUUUCACAAAAAUUACAUAAAAUAAUGAUUAAAUUUAAUUAUGUGGCAGAAUUUGUCAGAAGUUUUUCACAUAUUAUUUUCUUCCUUCACCAUCAGUUGAUCUUUGAGGACAGGGGUCGGCAACCUUUCUGGAGUGAAGAGCCAUUUUUUUCCCGAUUUGGCAACCUUUUUGGAGUUAAGAGCCAUUUUUUUUCCGAUGUGAUAAAUUAUUUUUUUAAAGAGCCAAAUAUAAGUACAUACAUCGGUAAUAUGUUUUUUAGAAGGUACCUAAAAUUCUUGCGAAUUCGUUUUAGUUUCCAUUGAUUUCAGUUAAUUUAUCCGCACAAAAUGUAAAAAUAAUUUGAUUGG